CGGCCAACAAAGAGAGGCAAAACCGCGAGGUGGAGCAAAUCUCAAAAAGCCGUCCCAGUUCGGAUCGCAGGCUGCAACCCGCCUGCGUGAAGUUGGAAUCGCUAGUAAUCGCGGAUCAGCAUGCCGCGGUGAAUACGUUCCCGGGCCUUGUACACACCGCCCGUCACACCAUGAGAGUCGGGAACACCCGAAGUCCGUAGCCUAACCGCAAGGGGGGCGCGGCCGAAGGUGGGUUCGAUAAUUGGGGUGAAGUCGUAACAAGGUAUC
RNAcentral lists this ribosomal RNA (267 nucleotides) under uncultured bacterium. RNAcentral describes it as "partial 16S ribosomal RNA". It matches the Rfam family "Bacterial small subunit ribosomal RNA", at positions 1234 to 1500 of the family's 1533-position model. The record is from RNAcentral.